UCAUUGGUUUAAUAUACCUUCGAUUUCUUGGUUCAUAUAUAUAUAUAUAUAUAUGAACCAAGAAAUCGAAGGUAUAUGUUAUAUCG
This 86-nucleotide microRNA precursor is filed under the name Olea europaea subsp. europaea. The record is from RNAcentral. Lineage: Eukaryota; Viridiplantae; Streptophyta; Magnoliopsida; Lamiales; Oleaceae.